CCUACGGGAGGCUGCAGUGAGGAAUAUUGGUCAAUGGACGAGAGUCUGAACCAGCCAAGCAGCGUGAAGGAUGACUGCCCUAUGGGUUGUAAACUUCUUUUAUAUGGGAAUAAAAUGUUCCACGUGUGGGAUUUUGUAUGUACCAUAUGAAUAAGGAUCGGCUAACUCCGUGCCAGCAGCCGCGGUAAUACGGAGGAUCCGAGCGUUAUCCGGAUUUAUUGGGUUUAAAGGGAGCGUAGGUGGAUUGUUAAGUCAGGUGUGAAAGUUUGCGGCUCAACCGUAAAAUUGCAGUUGAAACUGGCAGUCUUGAGUACAGUAGAGGUGGGCGGAAUGCGUGGUGUAGCGGUGAAAUGCUUAGAUAUCACGAAGAACUCCGAUUGCGAAGGCAGUUCACUGGACUGCAACUGACACUGAGGCUCGAAAGUGUGGGUAUCAAACAGGAUUAGAUACCCGUGUAGUC
RNAcentral lists this ribosomal RNA (460 nucleotides) under uncultured bacterium. RNAcentral describes it as "partial 16S ribosomal RNA". It matches the Rfam family "Bacterial small subunit ribosomal RNA", at positions 338 to 795 of the family's 1533-position model. The record is from RNAcentral.